Molecule: ribosomal RNA, 441 nt
Filed under: uncultured bacterium
Lineage: Bacteria
Description: partial 16S ribosomal RNA
Rfam family: Bacterial small subunit ribosomal RNA
Source: RNAcentral
CCUACGGGUGGCAGCAGUGGGGGAUAUUGCACAAUGGGGGGAACCCUGAUGCAGCGACGCCGCGUGGGUGAAGGAGCGUUUCGGCGCGUAAAGCCCUAUCGGCAGGGAAGAAGGAGGACGGUACCUGACUAAGAAGCCCCGGCUAACUACGUGCCAGCAGCCGCGGUAAUACGUAGGGGGCAAGCGUUAUCCGGAUUUACUGGGUGUAAAGGGGGCGCAGACGGCAGCGCAAGCCAGGAGUGAAAGCCCGGGGCCCAACCCCGGGACUGCUCUUGGAACUGCGCGGCUGGAGUGCAGGAGGGGCAGGCGGAAUUCCUGGUGUAGCGGUGAAAUGCGUAGAUAUCACGCAGAACUCCGAUUGCGAAGGCAGCUUACUAAGCCAUAACUGACACUGAAGCACGAAAGCGUGGGGAUCAAACAGGAUUAGAUACCCCAGUAGUC